This 1567-nucleotide ribosomal RNA is filed under the name Listeria monocytogenes. Its description in RNAcentral is "partial 23S ribosomal RNA". It matches the Rfam family "Bacterial large subunit ribosomal RNA", at positions 1 to 1560 of the family's 2925-position model. Lineage: Bacteria; Bacillati; Bacillota; Bacilli; Caryophanales; Listeriaceae. The record is from RNAcentral.
UUGGUUAAGUUAGAAAGGGCGCACGGUGGAUGCCUUGGCACUAGGAGCCGAAGAAGGACGGGACUAACACCGAUAUGCUUUGGGGAGCUGUACGUAAGCGUUGAUCCAGAGAUUUCCGAAUGGGGGAACCCACUAUCUUUAGUCGGAUAGUAUCCUUACGUGAAUACAUAGCGUGAGGAAGGCAGACCCAGGGAACUGAAACAUCUAAGUACCUGGAGGAAGAGAAAGAAAAAUCGAUUUCCUGAGUAGCGGCGAGCGAAACGGAAAGAGCCCAAACCAAGAAGCUUGCUUCUUGGGGUUGUAGGACACUCUAUACGGAGUUACAAAAGAAAGUUAUAAAUGAAGCGGUCUGGAAAGGCCCGCCAAAGACGGUAACAGCCCGGUAGUUGAAAUAGCUUUCCCUCCAGAGUGGAUCCUGAGUACGGCGGAACACGUGAAAUUCCGUCGGAAUCCGGGAGGACCAUCUCCCAAGGCUAAAUACUCCCUAGUGACCGAUAGUGAACCAGUACCGUGAGGGAAAGGUGAAAAGCACCCCGGAAGGGGAGUGAAACAGUUCCUGAAACCGUGUGCCUACAAGUAGUUAGAGCCCGUUAAUGGGUGAUAGCGUGCCUUUUGUAGAAUGAACCGGCGAGUUACGAUUUGUUGCAAGGUUAAGCGGAAAAAGCGGAGCCGUAGCGAAAGCGAGUCUGAAUAGGGCGCAUAAGUAACAGGUCGUAGACCCGAAACCAGGUGAUCUACCCAUGUCCAGGAUGAAGGUAAGGUAAUACUUACUGGAGGUCCGAACCCACGCACGUUGAAAAGUGCGGGGAUGAGGUGUGGGUAGCGGAGAAAUUCCAAUCGAACUUGGAGAUAGCUGGUUCUCUCCGAAAUAGCUUUAGGGCUAGCCUCGAGGUAAAGAGUCAUGGAGGUAGAGCACUGUUUGGACUAGGGGCCCUUCUCGGGUUACCGAAUUCAGAUAAACUCCGAAUGCCAUGUACUUAUACUCGGGAGUCAGACUGCGAGUGAUAAGAUCCGUAGUCGAAAGGGAAACAGCCCAGACCACCAGUUAAGGUCCCCAAAUAUAUGUUAAGUGGAAAAGGAUGUGGGGUUGCUUAGACAACCAGGAUGUUGGCUUAGAAGCAGCCACCAUUGAAAGAGUGCGUAAUAGCUCACUGGUCGAGUGACCCCGCGCCGAAAAUGUACCGGGGCUAAACAUAUUACCGAAACUGUGGAUGAACCUCUUUAGAGGUUCGUGGUAGGAGAGCGUUCUAAGGGCGGUGAAGUCAGACCGGAAGGACUGGUGGAGCGCUUAGAAGUGAGAAUGCCGGUAUGAGUAGCGAAAGAAGGGUGAGAAUCCCUUCCACCGAAUAUCUAAGGUUUCCUGAGGAAGGCUCGUCCGCUCAGGGUUAGUCGGGACCUAAGCCGAGGCCGAUAGGCGUAGGCGAUGGACAACAGGUAGAGAUUCCUGUACCAGUGCUAAUUGUUUAACCGAUGGGGUGACACAGAAGGAUAGGGAAUCGCACGAAUGGAAAUGUGCGUCCAAGCAGUGAGUGUGAGAAGUAGGCAAAUCCGCUUCUCGCGAAGCAUG